AUUGAACGCUGGCGGAAUGCUUUACACAUGCAAGUCGAACGGCAGCACGGACUUCGGUCUGGUGGCGAGUGGCGAACGGGUGAGUAAUGUAUCGGAACGUGCCCAGUCGUAGGGGAUAACGUAGUGAAAAUUACGCUAAUACCGCAUACGAUCUAUGGAUGAAAGCGGGGGAUCGCAAGACCUCGCGCGAUUGGAGCGGCCGAUAUCAGAUUAGGUAGUUGGUGGGGUAAAGGCCCACCAAGCCAACGAUCUGUAGCUGGUCUGAGAGGACGACCAGCCACACUGGAACUGAGACACGGUCCAUACUCCUACGGGAGGCAGCAGUGGGGAAUUUUGGACAAUGGGCGAAAGCCUGAUCCAGCCAUUCCGCGUGCAGGAUGAAGGCCCUCGGGUUGUAAACUGCUUUUGUACAGAACGAAAAGGUUUCUACUAAUACUAGGAGCUCAUGACGGUACUGUAAGAAUAAGCACCGGCUAACUACGUGCCAGCCGCCGCGGUAA
RNAcentral lists this ribosomal RNA (500 nucleotides) under uncultured bacterium. RNAcentral's name for it is "partial 16S ribosomal RNA". It matches the Rfam family "Bacterial small subunit ribosomal RNA", at positions 30 to 523 of the family's 1533-position model. The record is from RNAcentral.